Non-coding RNA from Dermacentor albipictus, 494 nucleotides. The record is from RefSeq and is a predicted model, not a curated record. Lineage: Eukaryota; Metazoa; Arthropoda; Arachnida; Ixodida; Ixodidae.
CCGACUGCCAUAGAAUCUAAUGGGAACGAUACCCAGUAAGCCACGGUGAUUUUGGCGUCAACGCUUUCGUUACCCCGGCGUUGGAAAUGUCAGUUCCGGUCCAAGUGGCAUCAAGUCAUAAAGAAGAGCGCACAGGCCUGCUGCACACACUUCUUCGCGAAAUAAGGAGGAAGUCGCUGUGUCAGGUUGCAACAAAUGCCAUGACGCACCUGCAUAAUCGCGGUCCUUAGGCGCCUGACCAGCCAACCGACAUCAGGUGCCGGCGCUCAAAGCCCCGGAGAGCCCGCAGUCCUUGGCACUUUACCAAAUUCUUCUCUUCGGGGCUCUGCCUAAACUGUCAUCACCCACCUAGCUUCAAUGAAGAUGUCUCUCUGGCAUUUAUUUAUUUGUAAUGAAACUGUUAUCAAAUAACCCAACAUCACCCACCUAAUUCCAUGAAAAAUGGCUGUGUGGUACUUGCUUAUCUGUGAAUAAACUUAUGAAAUGUCUUUUAA